GCCUAGAUGUAAACCUUUAUUUACACAACCAUCGCCCGGAUACUACAAGCCACGCUUAAAAACCAAGGGACUUGACGGUAUCUCAUACCCCACUAGAGGAGCCUGUCGCACAAUCGAUAACCCCCGCUAAACCUCACCGCUCUUAGCUUAUUCAGCCUGUAUACUUCCGUCGCAGCCUAUCAUAUGAAUGAAUCUUAAUAGGCCAAAUGAUUCUCGUCAAUACGUCAGGUCAAAGUGCAGCCAAUAGAACGGAAGCAGAUGGGCUACAUUUUCUAAAUUAGACUAUACGAAAGAUUAAAUGAAACAAAAUCAGAAGGUGGAUUUAGUAGUAAGGGCAAAACAGAGAGCUCCCCUUAAUACAGGCACUGGGAUGUGUACAAACCGCCCGUCACCCUCUUCAAAUUUAAAUAAUAGUAUUUAACACCAUUAAAACUACAGAAGGGGCAAGUCGUAACAUGGUAAGUGUACCGGAAGGUGCUCUUGGAAA
This 487-nucleotide ribosomal RNA is filed under the name Haddadus binotatus (clay robber frog). Its description in RNAcentral is "partial small subunit ribosomal RNA". It matches the Rfam family "Bacterial small subunit ribosomal RNA", at positions 794 to 1522 of the family's 1533-position model. Lineage: Eukaryota; Metazoa; Chordata; Amphibia; Anura; Craugastoridae. The record is from RNAcentral.